This is a long non-coding RNA of Cavia porcellus (domestic guinea pig), 3340 nucleotides long. RefSeq lists it as uncharacterized. NCBI's taxonomy places the organism in Eukaryota, Metazoa, Chordata, Mammalia, Rodentia, Caviidae. The transcript has 9 exons. The record is from RefSeq and is a predicted model, not a curated record.
AGGUUGCAAUGAACAACUUCUAAGACUAAUACCUGGGAGCAAAUUUGCUAGUGCAAAGGUGCAUCUCAAUAAACCAGGUUUUGAGGCGCCCCUGGCCAGGGUGCCCCAACUGCUCACGAGGCUUUCUGCUGAGGUGGUUCCACCAGAGCUUCCCUGUGGGAGGUAUGAAGAGACUCAUCUUAUCUGUACAAGGCUGUGCAUGGGGUAUUCUUGCAAGACGUAUCUCAAUCACAUUCAUUUGAGAUAAAAGAGAAAAGAAGGGUGCUUGGAAGAGCUUCCAUCUAUCAGUUCUGGAAAGACAAUGAAUCCAAUUGAAAACAAAUCCAGGUCUCUCAAUGGCCAGCUUGGCUUCUGAGAAGUCAUUUUAUGGCCAAGGAUGAGAAGGCAGAAGGAAUUCUGGAUGGCUGUGGCUAUUUCUAAAAGCUGAAGUCCUACUGCAAAGCCCCUGAAGGCUGGAUCGGGGAGACCCUGUUCUGCUACAUGGCUUCCGUUUCUGGCAUCAAUCUCAGUCCUCCCUAGGCUUGGUGAGGAACCUACGGAUAUGGAAGACAACUGUAUCAUUGCUCUGGAUUUCUCAUCUUUCUGUCUCUCAGGGACAGCUUGUGAAGUGUCAGCCCACUCCGCCAACCCCACCGGUGCACAGAGACUGCAUUUCCUCCGGCAGCAUUCUCACUCAGGUCGCAUGGCUCCUUUGCCAAGGUGGUUGUAUUACUCUGAAAUAUGGAAAUCUCCAUUUUAGGAGGAAAUAACACAAAGCAGAUUUUCCUUCAUGCAUUGAAUCUUGUUAUGAAACGAAGACUUCAACUGCCCUCUCUUUCUGGGACAGUGAAAUAAAAGCCUUUGCUUCCUCCUCAGGCUCACUUGGCCAGAGCCCACACCAGUCACCAGCACAGCCACAUCCUGCUCCCCACAGAGCCCGCUGAGCCUGGGAUCCACCUGUUUCUGAGGCAGCAGCCGUAGUCAAGCUGCACGAGCUCACCGUGCACCAUCAUGCCCAUUUCCGCGGCCCCACCCAGGUCGUAGACAAACUCGGGCCAGCUUUUCCACUACGUUUCAUGGGAAGCUGUGUGAAGACCCUGCCAGAGAUGGUUGCACGUUACUCUAAGGUUGGCCAUAAAAUGAGAAAGGCUCAGAGGUGGUGAAGCUGCAGAAUGGAAGUUGCCAGAGUGCCUGGGUCCUACUGAAGAGAGCUCUGCAAAGAGCCGCCUGCCAGGAAGCCUCUGCACACCUUCUAUGCAUGAGUACAGCUGAUCCUUAACACGAUUCCAGCUCUGUAGGCUACCUGCUGCCAUUUGUCGUUGAGAGGGACAUACUCACAACAUCCUGCAAGGGACCUCACUCCAGUAAUAAGGUCCUGCCCUCUCCUGUUGCUGUAUCUGUGAGCUCAAGUUUUUCAAGUAUUCAUUUAUCAUUUCCACGCAAGCCAUUUCUCCAGUAAAUUGUUCAUCGCAGUUGAAAGUCUAGGAAACAUAGGACUUGCUUAGGCAUGGAAAACAGAGCUACUUCAAAUUGCUUCUGAUGCCCAAAUUCUUUCCAUCAUGGCAAAAUCUGCCCUCGCCUUUGUGUCUUCUCACUUCCUGGACUGCAUUUUUCAGCUUUUUGGAGUCAGCACCCUAAAGUGCCAUUCUCCUCUGGAUCCUGGAUUUCUCUGUUUUCUUCAUUACUAAGCCCCAGCUUCCACUGAUGCCACCUUCUGGGGGCUCUGAGCUUUCCCCCCAGAUACCGCAGCCCCUUCCCCACCUCUCCCAGCCAGCCAGUCUACAGCAUGCAUUCUUCCUGACCCCUCUGAAUUCCCCAACUCCUCACAAGUCUGCUUGAAAACUUUCCACAUCUCUGUUGGCCUUGAUCUUGAAUCGUCAAUGAUUGUCUAAUGAAAUCAGAGCAUUCUUUGUUCCAAAGUUUUUUCAUUGUUUUUUUUCCAUGGGAUUGUAGAAAACAUCUCCUGCCAGGCACACCCUACUGUUUUUGUGAAAAUUAUAGGCUGGAAAUAACUGCUUAAGUCAACUGCCAGACGAGGUACUCUCAUCAGAGGGAAAAUUCCAGCUGCUGAACAAGUUUAUGGGCUUUAUUUUUGAAGCAAAGAGUUCAUCAAGUGAAAAAUUGAAUUUUACAGGUGCCCCAACUCUGUUCUAAGCAAAAAGCAUGAGGAUGUCACCCUUCAAGGUCAAACUUAUGACCCAAUAUUUAUUCACUUGCUUUCUCUAUUCACUUUCUUGGGUCCUUUCUGUGGCCUCAUAGUAGAUGCUCUGGGGCACACAGAGAAAGGAAUCUUUUUAUGAAAGAUAAAAGAAAGGGUCUGAGGAAGAGUUCAGUCUCCAUCUGGCUGUAUUCCUUGUCCAGACCUAGGAACUGAUGUGUUGUUUUUCUGGCUUAAGCCAGGUUGUUUUAUCAAUCAAAAGUCUUAGUUGAGAUCCCUAAGAAGUCCAGCUCCCUUCCCUUGAACACAUAUGGGAAGAAGAGGGUGCCCAAGAGAAACCGUGCAAGAUCUGCUAAAAUCAUGUCUGCCUCUUGCACUAAGGCAAACAGCUGCUGUAGAGUAGAUCUAAAAUGUCCCCCAAAAAGUUUUAUAUAUUCAGAAAAGGGGCUAUUGGAAGACUGCCAUGGGUUGAGCAGUUUUUCUCUGCCAUAGUCCUUCUGUCCUGCCGUGUCUGCGUUAGAGCUGAUUGCAAAUGGACAGAUCCUUACAAGCCAAGAUAAACUCUUCUCCUUUAAGUUGUGGGUGUCGGGUAUUUUGUUCCAGCUACAGGAAAGUGACUUAGACAACUGCCUUUCCACAAAGCAUGUGGAUACCCCUGAGGAGCACCUGAAAUAAGCACACCUGUCUGCUACUGCAGACCCUUCCUCCCUGAAAGACACCUGCCACCUGCUGUCUCAGUCUGCAGAGCUCCUUACAGAAGCACAGACCACCCGUGAUAGCCUCUGUUCAAGCAGGCUUUCUAGUCUAGAACUUGUGAGUCCCCCACCCACAAGACUCUCUAGUUAACUCAUGUGAUAAACUAUGUUAUAUUUGGGUUUUAAAGAACAGUGGUUUGAUCUGAAAUGAUCCCCAAGGCUCCAGUGUUGGGAAACUGACUGGAUUAUGCAGUGGUAUAGCAGGCUCACUGAUGGGAGGCAGGGUCUGGUCAAAGGAGACGGUCACUGAGGGUGUGGCCUGCAAGGGUUUAUCUCCCUCCCCAGCUCCUCCUUGCCCUGCAUCCUGCCCGCCAUAACUGAGCAGCUUUCUUCUGCUGGACCCUCCUCUGCUGGACAUGGCCUCCACCAUGUUGUUUUUCCCUUUGGAGCUACCAGGACUACGCUCUGAAAUGUGAACUGAAAUAAAUUUUUCUUCCCUUAAACUGCA